UGCCUUCGGGAACUCUGAGACAGGUGCUGCAUGGCUGUCGUCAGCUCGUGUUGUGAAAUGUUGGGUUAAGUCCCGCAACGAGCGCAACCCUUAUCCUUUGUUGCCAGCGGUUAGGCCGGGAACUCAAAGGAGACUGCCAGUGAUAAACUGGAGGAAGGUGGGGAUGACGUCAAGUCAUCAUGGCCCUUACGAGUAGGGCUACACACGUGCUACAAUGGCAUAUACAAAGAGAAGCGACCUCGCGAGAGCAAGCGGACCUCAUAAAGUAUGUCGUAGUCCGGAUUGGAGUCUGCAACUCGACUCCAUGAAGUCGGAAUCGCUAGUAAUCGUGGAUCAGAAUGCCACGGUGAAUACGUUCCCGGGUCUUGUACACA
This 374-nucleotide ribosomal RNA is filed under the name Citrobacter sp. RNAcentral describes it as "bacterial SSU rRNA". It matches the Rfam family "Bacterial small subunit ribosomal RNA", at positions 1014 to 1389 of the family's 1533-position model. Lineage: Bacteria; Pseudomonadati; Pseudomonadota; Gammaproteobacteria; Enterobacterales; Enterobacteriaceae. The record is from RNAcentral.